UUUAAUGCUUCGACAAAAAAAGCAUGCAAAAAUUUGCAGAAAGCUAAUUUUUGUAUGCAAAAUUUCUGGUUAAACUCAAAAACCCAUGGCUUUUUUUAAAGCAGAAAAUUUGACUCCAUAGUUUGCAGAUUGCUGGUUUUUCAACAUGUUGCAUGUGCACCUAGUAAUUGUACAAGUCAAAUAGCCAAACUGCUACAGUUACUGAAGACAGGUUUCAAGCAUUAUAUUCCUUGACAUAUGGCACAUUGUUCUUGCUUCCUUUCACUUUGUUUUCAAUUUAUUAAUGAACUAAAAGGCUAGGGAAUUCAUUCUCUUUAGGGAAAAACAAUAAGAAGAAAAACAGUGUAUCAAUUAUGGCAGAAUUUACAUGCUUCAAAAUCAUAUUGGAGUUGAAAUUUGCUUUCUUCUGAAAAAGAAGGCAUGGGUUGAAUGNUAUAUAUAUAUAUCAAGUGGACGAUCUCUUGCUAUAUUAACAGUUGUGAACCAGUGAACCUUUGUUGUCCUUUUGGAGGUUGCAAGUUUGAGAUUUCCUUCAUUCCAUCAAGACACAUUAAGUACUCAUCGUUUUGCCUUUUGAUAGUUGGUGAAGAUAGAUUAGAUAUUUUAACUUUUUUGUGUGCUUCUAGUUGCUCUUUGCUUUCUUUUUAGAGUCUAGUCUAGUUCUAAGACUUGCUAGUGAUAUCUCUAGAGCCGGAGGAAUAAAUGAAUUGUAUUGUUCCUAAGAAUAUGUGAUGUAUGUGAAACCUUUUGUACUUGUUUUGUAACUUCUCAUCAUUGUAAUUGUUGCCAACAAAUUUGAGUUGUAGCCAGGAGUUAGAUAUUCGAACAGUUUUUUUUAAAAGGAAUGAACAGUCCUCAUAAGUCAUAAGUUAACAUAUUUUAGCUUAUGUCUGACUCACCUUAAUAUCUUCUUUACAUCCUGUUCAAUUUUUUGCCAGAUUUUGAAAUGUCUGAAGCUCAACAAGAGCAUGCAUUGGCUAUAGAACAUCUUGUUCCUAGAAUAGCUGCUUUGAGCUCUGAGCUGUGCCCAAUUCAGAUGUCUGAAAAAUGCUUCUGGAAGAUCUAUUUUGUGCUUCUGCACUCUAGACUCAAUAAACAUGACGCUGAACUUCUCUCAACACCUCAGGUAAGUUCCUGACCUCUGAUUAAUUUUUUCCUUCUUUCAUGGCAUAUUUUCUUUUUGUCACCAUUUUUGUUUUCUAUAAUACUAUUUAUUAUCAUUACCAUUCUGCUCACACAAGUUUGUACUGGAAGGGGAUUUAAUUGCAUCAUUUCAUCGUUGUAUGCAGCUUCUGUCUAUGUCAAUAUUUAAUGCUUCGACAAAAAAAGCUUGCAAAAAUUUGCAUUUCUGGUUAAACUCAAAAACCCAUGGCUUUUUUUAAAGCAGAAAAUUUGACUCCAUAGUUUGCAGAUUGCUGGUUUUUCAACACGUUGCAUGUGCACCUAGUAAUUGUACAAGUCAAAUAGCCAACUACUAAAGACAGGUUUCAAGCAUUAUAUUCCUUGACAUAUAGCACAUUGUUCUUGCUUCCUUGCACUUUGUUUUCAAUUUAUUAAUGAACUAAAAGGCUAGGGAAUUCAUUCUCUUUAGGGAAAAACAAUAAGAAGAAAAACAGUAUCAAUUAUGGCAGAAUUUACAUGCUUCAAAAUCAUAUUGGAGUUGAAAUUUGCUUUCUUCUGAAAAAGAAGGCAUGGGUUGAAUGUCACAAUUGUACCUUGCAUAUGAGAAUCAAUGGCCAAAUUUCUUUCAUUUUUCUUGAUUGGAAUUGGCCCAUUUUAGAUAGUGUUCUUUUGUAGAAGCUCUUCUAGAAAGAUAGUUGUGCUUCUCUUCUCCGUUAAUACCGCCCUACUUCAGUAGAGAAGCUAUUUCAGAAGUUAGGAUGGACACUGUUGUGACCGUUUACCUUGGUUAAAUUACAAUACAAGGCCUUAACAGUAAAUCAAGUUUCAAUGUAAUCUUUCAACUAAGACAUUCAACACCCUAAACUUGUCGAAGUGCUUUACUUUACUCAUUGUUUUAGAGAAAUAAUCAUUGCCUCACUUGGUUCAUUUGUACAUUCAGUGCAGCACAAAUCCGUUUGCCCUUAAUCCAUCCCAUACUUUCAAUCAACCAUCUAAUGUUUAN
Molecule: long non-coding RNA, 2125 nt
Filed under: Ananas comosus (pineapple)
Lineage: Eukaryota; Viridiplantae; Streptophyta; Magnoliopsida; Poales; Bromeliaceae
Description: long non-coding RNA (ACOM_LNC006663)
Source: RNAcentral